RNAcentral lists this ribosomal RNA (468 nucleotides) under uncultured bacterium. RNAcentral's name for it is "partial 16S ribosomal RNA". It matches the Rfam family "Bacterial small subunit ribosomal RNA", at positions 28 to 507 of the family's 1533-position model. The record is from RNAcentral.
GACGAACGCUGGCGGCGUGCUUAACACAUGCAAGUCGAACGGAAAGGCCCUGCUUUUGUGGGGUGCUCGAGUGGCGAACGGGUGAGUAACACGUGAGUAACCUGCCCUUGACUUUGGGAUAACUUCAGGAAACUGGGGCUAAUACCGGAUAGGAGCUCCUGCUGCAUGGUGGGGGUUGGAAAGUUUCGGCGGUUGGGGAUGGACUCGCGGCUUAUCAGCUGGUUGGUGGGGUAGUGGCUUACCAAGGCUUUGACGGGUAGCCGGCCUGAGAGGGUGACCGGCCACAUUGGGACUGAGAUACGGCCCAGACUCCUACGGGAGGCAGCAGUUGGGAAUAUUGCACAAUGGGCGGAAGCCUGAUGCAGCAACGCCGCGUGCGGGAUGACGGCCUUCGGGUUGUAAACCGCUUUCGCCUGUGACGAAGCGUGAGUGACGGUAAUGGGUAAAGAAGCACCGGCUAACUACGUG